This 397-nucleotide ribosomal RNA is filed under the name uncultured bacterium. RNAcentral describes it as "bacterial SSU rRNA". It matches the Rfam family "Bacterial small subunit ribosomal RNA", at positions 30 to 429 of the family's 1533-position model. The record is from RNAcentral.
AUUGAACGCUGGCGGCAUGCCUUACACAUGCAAGUCGAACGGCAGCGCGGACUUCGGUCUGGCGGCGAGUGGCGAACGGGUGAGUAAUACAUCGGAACGUACCCUGUUGUGGGGGAUAACUAGUCGAAAGAUUAGCUAAUACCGCAUACGACCUGAGGGUGAAAGUGGGGACCGCAAGGCCUCACGCAGCAGGAGCGGCCGAUGUCUGAUUAGCUAGUUGGUGGGGUAAAGGCCCACCAAGGCGACGAUCAGUAGCUGGUCUGAGAGGACGAUCAGCCACACUGGGACUGAGACACGGCCCAGACUCCUACGGGAGGCAGCAGUGGGGAAUUUUGGACAAUGGGGGGCAACCCUGAUCCAGCAAUGCCGCGUGUGUGAAGAAGGCCUCGGUUGUAAG